RNAcentral lists this non-coding RNA (29 nucleotides) under Mus musculus (house mouse). The record is from RNAcentral. Lineage: Eukaryota; Metazoa; Chordata; Mammalia; Rodentia; Muridae.
UAGCCAGUGUUUACCUUCCAGUCCGUCCC